RNAcentral lists this ribosomal RNA (465 nucleotides) under uncultured bacterium. RNAcentral describes it as "partial 16S ribosomal RNA". It matches the Rfam family "Bacterial small subunit ribosomal RNA", at positions 28 to 506 of the family's 1533-position model. The record is from RNAcentral.
GAUGAACGCUGGCGGCGUGCUUAACACAUGCAAGUCGAACGAUGAAGCCCAGCUUGCUGGGUGGAUUAGUGGCGAACGGGUGAGUAACACGUGAGUAACCUGCCCUUAACUCUGGGAUAAGCCUGGGAAACUGGGUCUAAUACCGGAUAGGAGCGUCCACCGCAUGGUGGGUGUUGGAAAGAUUUAUCGGUUUUGGAUGGACUCGCGGCCUAUCAGCUUGUUGGUGAGGUAAUGGCUCACCAAGGCGACGACGGGUAGCCGGCCUGAGAGGGUGACCGGCCACACUGGGACUGAGACACGGCCCAGACUCCUACGGGAGGCAGCAGUGGGGAAUAUUGCACAAGGGGCGCAAGCCUGAGGCAGCGACGCCGCGUGAGGGAGGACGGCCUUCGGGUUGUAAACCUCUUUCAGUAGGGAAGAAGCGAAAGUGACGGUACCUGCAGAAGAAGCACCGGCGAACUACGU